AGCUCAUGAUUGGGCAUAAAGCGUGCGUAGGCGGGCAUUUAAGUCAGUGGUGAAAUCCUGGAGCUUAACUCCAGAACUGCCAUUGAUACUAUCUGCCUUGGAUAUUGUGGAGGUCUGCGGAAUAUGUCAUGUAGCGGUGAAAUGCUUAGAUAUGACAUAGAACACCUAUUGCGAAGGCAGCAGGCUACGCAUAUAUCGACGCUGAGGCACGAAAGCGUGGGGAUCAAACAGGAUUAGAUACCCUGGUAGUCCACGCCCUAAACGAUGAUUACUCGACAUUAGCGAUACACAGUUAGUGUCUGAGCGAAAGCAUUAAGUAAUCCACCUGGGAAGUACGACCGCAAGGUUGAAACUUAAAAGAAUUGACGG
This 369-nucleotide ribosomal RNA is filed under the name uncultured Hydrotalea sp. RNAcentral describes it as "bacterial SSU rRNA". It matches the Rfam family "Bacterial small subunit ribosomal RNA", at positions 542 to 916 of the family's 1533-position model. Lineage: Bacteria; Pseudomonadati; Bacteroidota; Chitinophagia; Chitinophagales; Chitinophagaceae. The record is from RNAcentral.